UUUAAAAAAGGAAAAAAAAAAAAAUCUAUAGUCAUGGGCAAGGUAGUAGUUUUUCUUGAAAUUUUGAGGCAGAGCCGAUGUAUACUUUGCAGCUUUUUCCCUUGAGUUUCUUGUACUUUCUUCUGAUAAUAUUAUUUGUCAAUUGUAUAUCCUGGCCAUUGAAAGAAAGGCCAAACUUGAUUGGUUGGGUAUCUUUAGAAGAUAAGAGACUACAUAGAAUGCUAAAAUAUGAAUUCUCAUAUUUGGCUAAUAUUGUUGGAAUUGGUAAAAGAAUGCCAUAAAUGAAUGUCUCAUGGUAGGAAUUUAAAAAAUAAAAUAAAUACAAAAUAACAAAAGAAAGAUGCCGUCUGGUUAAAGGAAGUGACAAAUGGCAUAAUUAGCUUGGCCAUAUUAGCAUAAUAACAAUGAAAAAGAAGUUGAAACAUGGAAAUGCAUUCAUA
Molecule: unclassified non-coding RNA, 440 nt
Filed under: Hevea brasiliensis (rubber tree)
Lineage: Eukaryota; Viridiplantae; Streptophyta; Magnoliopsida; Malpighiales; Euphorbiaceae
Source: RNAcentral